Molecule: long non-coding RNA, 572 nt
Filed under: Setaria viridis
Lineage: Eukaryota; Viridiplantae; Streptophyta; Magnoliopsida; Poales; Poaceae
Description: long non-coding RNA (SVIR_LNC000514)
Source: RNAcentral
CGUGACAGAGGUAAUGGCUAGUAAAAUCGGCCGAUGGAGUUACAGUAGUUCAGCCGAUGGAAUCACAGAGGUUCGGCCGAUGAAGACAGGAGGAUUCGGCUGAUGGAAGCUGAUGAGGUCUAGCCGAUACAAGCAGGAGAGUUCCAGCCGAUCGGAGAUGUUGGAGCUUCGAUCGAUAAGAGACAAAAGAGUCUUGAUCGGUGAGGAGGUUGCAAGAUGGUGGAUAUAGGGUUGGCCGAUAAGAGACAAAAAAGUCUUGAUCGGCGAGGAGGUUGCAAGAUGGUGGAUAUAGGGUUAGCUAAUAGAGACUAAAUUCGUUUCCGACUCUUGUACGAGUUGUUUUAUUUAGAAAGUUUGUUUCUUUGGUUAUAGAUAUUGUAUUGCGUCGUAAUCGACUAGCACUACAAGUCUUGAGUUUAGGAUAUAAAUAGAGAUCCUGCUAGGUCUGAAAAAGAUGUACACACAUAAACAAACAAAUCUACUUUAUUCGCAAUUUAUUUUCAAGUCAGCGACUUUGCCAAAGUUCUGUUUUUCCUCACGAGUUCUUCCAAGCUAACAGGGCUACAUCAUCU